This 253-nucleotide ribosomal RNA is filed under the name uncultured bacterium. Its description in RNAcentral is "partial 16S ribosomal RNA". It matches the Rfam family "Bacterial small subunit ribosomal RNA", at positions 524 to 776 of the family's 1533-position model. The record is from RNAcentral.
UACGUAGGGUGCGAGCGUUGUCCGGAAUUACUGGGCGUAAAGAGCUCGUAGGCGGUUUGUCGCGUCGUCCGUGAAAACUUGGGGCUCAACCCCAAGCUUGCGGGCGAUACGGGCAGACUUGAGUACUGCAGGGGAGACUGGAAUUCCUGGUGUAGCGGUGAAAUGCGCAGAUAUCAGGAGGAACACCGGUGGCGAAGGCGGGUCUCUGGGCAACAACUGACGCUGAGGAGCGAAAGCGUGGGGAGCGAACAGG